GACGAACGCUGGCGGCGUGCUUAACACAUGCAAGUCGAACGAUGAAGCCUAGCUUGCUAGGUGGAUUAGUGGCGAACGGGUGAGUAAUACGUGAGUGACCUACCUUUGACUCUGGGAUAAGCCUGGGAAAUUGGGUCUAAUACCGGAUACGACCAAUCUCCGCAUGGGGUGUUGGUGGAAAGCGUUAUGGAGUGGUUUUAGAUGGGCUCACGGCCUAUCAGCUUGUUGGUGAGGUAAUGGCUUACCAAGGCGACGACGGGUAGCCGGCCUGAGAGGGUGACCGGCCACACUGGGACUGAGACACGGCCCAGACUCCUACGGGAGGCAGCAGUGGGGAAUAUUGCACAAUGGGCGCAAGCCUGAUGCAGCGACGCCGCGUGAGGGAUGACGGCCUUCGGGUUGUAAACCUCUGUUAGCAUCGAAGAAGCGAAAGUGACGGUAGGUGCAGAGAAAGCGCCGGCUAACUACGUGCCAGCAGCCGCGGUAAUACGUAGGGCGCGAGCGUUGUCCGGAAUUAUUGGGCGUAAAGAGCUUGUAGGCGGUUGGUCGCGUCUGCUGUGAAGGCUGGGGCUUAACCCUGGUUUUGCAGUGGGUACGGGCUAACUAGAGUGCAGUAGGGGAGACUGGAAUUCCUGGUGUAGCGGUGGAAUGCGCAGAUAUCAGGAGGAACACCGAUGGCGAAGGCAGGUCUCUGGGCUGUAACUGACGCUGAGAAGCGAAAGCAUGGGGAGCGAACAGGAUUAGAUACCCUGGUAGUCCAUGCCGUAAACGUUGGGCACUAGGUGUGGGGGACAUUCCACGUUUUCCGCGCCGUAGCUAACGCAUUAAGUGCCCCGCCUGGGGAGUACGGCCGCAAGGCUAAAACUCAAAGAAAUUGACGGGGGCCCGCACAAGCGGCGGAGCAUGCGGAUUAAUUCGAUGCAACGCGAAGAACCUUACCAAGGCUUGACAUAUACUGGACUGCGUCAGAGAUGGCGUUUCCCUUCGGGGCUGGUAUACAGGUGGUGCAUGGUUGUCGUCAGCUCGUGUCGUGAGAUGUUGGGUUAAGUCCCGCAACGAGCGCAACCCUCGUUCUAUGUUGCCAGCACGUGAUGGUGGGGACUCAUAGGAGACUGCCGGGGUUAACUCGGAGGAAGGUGGGGAUGACGUCAAAUCAUCAUGCCCCUUAUGUCUUGGGCUUCACGCAUGCUACAAUGGCCGGUACAGAGGGUUGCGAUACUGUGAGGUGGAGCUAAUCCCUAAAAGCCGGUCUCAGUUCGGAUUGGGGUCUGCAACUCGACCCCAUGAAGUCGGAGUCGCUAGUAAUCGCAGAUCAGCAACGCUGCGGUGAAUACGUUCCCGGGCCU
Molecule: ribosomal RNA, 1346 nt
Filed under: uncultured bacterium
Lineage: Bacteria
Description: bacterial SSU rRNA
Rfam family: Bacterial small subunit ribosomal RNA
Source: RNAcentral